AGAAUUUCAAUCGAGAAUCGUAAUUUCGCUUCCAAUGCCUUAGUGACUCCCCAAGAAGCCUUCGAAAAAACAGCAAUAAUCUCAUGAUCAUUCCUUUUAAUAAACAUUAGACCUUAAACUCACAAGCUCCAAACAAGCUUUCAAAUGAAACCCAGAAGCUUUAUCCCAGACUUUUUCUCCUUUAUAACAUACAAGCAUGGUGUAGAGUGGGUGAAGGCCAUGAGAUUGAGGAAGGGGUUUGGAAUGGAUAUCGAUUGGCAGGUUUUUAGCUCUUUUCCCUGAGUCUCUUACUUCAUUGCUUUCAAGUGGUUUCCAAAGAAGGUUAAUUCAUCUUUUUAUGCUUUUAUAUAUCUUCCCUCUUCUUUUUUUCCCUUGCCAUGAUGUUUCUUAUGUGAGAACUUUGUUCCCAUCCUUGGAUUUCUCUAAAAGAGAAGGGCUAAAGAGGCAUUGUCCUCCACUUGAGAAGCGUUUAUUUUUCUUGGUGCUACCUCUAGAGGAUUAUAGAUUGCUCGUAAAUGGCCAACUAGCAGGGAUUGUGUAUGGAGAAGCAAUGUGAAUCAUACACGUCUUAUUGAAGUCAAAGGAGGACAAAUUGGGUGCAUGAGAAAGAUUAGCUAUAAUGGUUCCCUGGUGGUGGCACUCAUUUCAAGCAUGGAGCAGCUGAUGAACUUAAGUUUCUUAUAUCACUUAUUCACUUUUGAACUGGUUAAUUUAUCAUUUAAUACAGUGGCAAUGAUACCAGUAAUUGAUGAUAUUUCCAAAACUCAAGCACUAUAAUGUUUCAUCUCUAAUGAUACAGGUUAGGAAAUAUGGUAACUAAUGAUACAUGUGAUCCAUGUUCAGCUGGGGUUGUUCAAGUUCUGGAUGUUAGCUAUGGUUUUGCUAGCUUCUCAUCUUAUCUUUUUCCUUUGGAUAUACAAACAAUGUUUUUUGGUCCCAAAGAUGGCCAUAAAAAUUAGAUUCAAUUUGCUUUAUAACGAGGAAUCAGUGCCAUGACUUCUGUCAUUGCCACAAAACAACUAUCAUACCCUUCUGGCUCUUUUGAGAAUGUUCAUUGUUCGAGGUGUGUUUGCUUGGGUGUUCUAUUCUGGAUUUGGAGCAAUUUAUAGGUGUUAACCUAGCUUUCCAUUCCUUACUUCUUUCAUAUGAUUUCUUUGAGGUUGCAUUUUUUUUCAGCACCGAGCUUCAAACCAUGUUCAUCUCUAAUUACUUUAGGAGUCAACCCAAUAUACUCCAGUUCAGGUCAAGUAGCUCCAAGGUAAAUUUCUAGAGGUUUUUUUAUUAAAAAAAUCGUUUUUUUAGGUUUUUAGCCUUUUUAACUUCAUUGAUUGUUGGUUGACAUGGCUUAUGUGUUUUUUAAUGGUUAUUUGGGUUUAAUUGGUUCCUUUACUUUCUUGAACUGUAUUUGACAAGGGGAUUGUUGCUUUGUUUACAAGAAGACAUUAUUAGAUCUUUUUUGGGCUACAAGGAGAGACCAAAUUAUGGUAAAUUUACAAGACUACAAGGAGAAACUAGAUUGUGAUCGCUAUGUUGCUGUCAUCACAUAUGUAUCUUUGAGGGAGAUGAUAAAACCUGGUGCCUUCACUAUUAUAUCUCCUAUGAUUAUUAGAUGGUUAAUUGCUUGCCAUUUGAAUUUACUUCUUUUGCUUAUAUCUUUAAGGGUUAAAUGAAGUUUCCUUGACAUUUUUAUUAUUUGAAGGCCUUCUGUUUUGGAUUUUGGGGUAAUAUACAAGACAUUAUGUACUAGGGGCUAAAGUUGUGGCUUCCAUACUAAUGUUUGUGAUAGUUUCAGGUAUUCUCAUGGUUCUUUUCCUGAACAUAUCAGUUAGAUUUUGUGAAACUAUUUAGAUGUUUGGUAAAUGUUGUUGUAGUUGUGUUGUGUUUUUUACACAAAUGGUUGGUAUCCAUACCAAAUUUGCUGGAGAUAAGGAGAUUCUAGAAAAGCUAUAGAAAGAGUUUGAUGUCUAAACCAAAUAUUUCUCUCAUGUAUUGACCAUGCUUUAUUCCUUAGCAAUAUCAUUGUCAACAUCGACAACCUCCACCAUUGCUAAAUCUCUGACUCUUUCUUAUUUGUUUUUAGAAAAAAGAAAGAGAAUAUUCUCUCUAACUAUCAAAGCUUGUUGAAUGAAAGCAAAGUCUCAAUCUUUCUCAGGCACAAAGGUAGAGAGAGACGAAGUGUGAAUUGGAAGACAAAAAUAACAGCAACCCACAUAAGGGGUUUCUUGAAAACCUAGCAAAAUUCAUGUUUUCUCUAGGUCCUCAACAGAAACUAUUGUUUUAUGCAAACAUUUAUUUUGGUUUCUUGAGCUUAUUUGAGGAAUGUUUUUUUCUUAGUAAUAAGGGUUCAAUUAUGUAGGUGAUUGAUUCUGUUAGAACUUUAGAGGGAAAAGAAUUAAAAAAAAAUGGCUUUGUUUAGAAAGUUUUUCUAUAGAAAACCACCUGAUGGGCUUUUAGAGAUCUCUAAAAGGGUUUAUGGUAUGCUUUAAAUUUUGAUUAAUUUACAAACUUUAUGGUUAAAAUUUGAUGGGUUUUGGUUCAUUUGUGAUUUGAAUUUCUUGCAUUGAUAUUGGUAGGUAAUUGAUCCUGAAAGUCUCUUUCUUUUAUGAUGAUAUCAUGAGGACUUGGUUUUGCCAUUUGGUAAACCAGAAGGAAAAAUGCAGAACACAGAUAAGAGCUUUGAUGUCUAAACCAAAAAUUGCUCUCAUGUCAUGACCAUGUUAGUUUUUUACCUUUUCUUUAUGUACUUUGCAACAAGCCCUCCAUGCUAACUUUCAUAAAAAAAAAAAUUCAUUCUUAUUUAGUAAGGUCAACGCCAACCAUCUAAUAAUUUGCUUAUAUUUUGGCUAACAAUGUGCCAUGUUGUUAGACAAAAAAUUCAGAUUUUAUGCUCUAGUGCUAUACUAGGAUUGAAGCUUUAUGGCUUUGGAGUUGACCACGAUUUCUUCUAUGAUUUAAUAAUUUGAAACAACUCCAACGGAUGAUGUCUUAUGUAUAUAUGUAUGUAUAUCUGUACAUUUUCCUUUCUGUUUGUAUACAAUAUGCUUAUUUCAUCUUUAUUAUCUCUGCAACCAAAAAUGUAGGAUUCAACCUUUGUUGCACACACGUGGUUGCUUUAUGUUUUGGGGGAAGAGAGAAAAAAUGGUUGUUGACUCUCUUCACUGAGGAUAAAUUACAGGAAAAAAAAAAAGGAAUUAGAAUGGGUGAGAGAUUGGGUCUGUUGAUUAAGCAUUUUCACCAUUUCGCAUUGACCCUUAGAUUUCUCAUGUGUCUAUAGAUUUGACAUGGAUUCAACAUAAGAGGUGAGAAGGUUGACUGUUAUUUUAUGAUGAAUUAUCAUAAAACAUUAGAUAAUUUUAUAAGGAAUCAUUUUAAGUCUUUUGUGUUUGUGUUAAAAAAAAAAAAGAUGUUCCACUGACAAGCUUUCUCGCGAGCUCUUUUUUAUCGGCUCGAAAUCAAGCGAGCUCAAUGUUUCAUAUGCUAAUUGGAACCUUUUUUCUCUUAUUUUUAAACCAUUGCUUCUUGUUAUUGCUCUUACAUAAACAAUUGCUUAGCUGCAUAAUGUAAAACUCAUGUCACCAUCUUACUCCUCUACCCAGGAAUCAGCCUCCCAACUUCUUUUUAAAAAGAACACAUCAGCCAUGUUAUUCUUUAACAUUUUCUAUUUCCAUUCUUAAGUCAUAAGAUGUUGCCUAACUACAUUUUUUCUCCAUGUAGUAGCGCCAGGGAAGGCCAGGCGCUCCUCCCAUCCGAGGAGGAUCUAACAGAAGGGCAUAUUUCGCCAUCAAGACUAGAAGAGGAGACUAGAAGAGGCAACGCCUGCUGCAAAGUGCCAAUGGGCAUUCCCACCUUCCAGCACACAUGUUAUCAUGAUGUUGCUUGCUUUGUUUCCUCCAGUUAUUUUCUUUCCAAACCCUUAAUUUGGUAUUUGGUUAUAGGAACAGUCAACAAGCGGUCAUAGCUCUACAAAUCGAUACAUCUUCGUGGAGGUUUAUUAGCCCUUUCUUGCUCUUCUCCAAGAUCCUUUGCCAAGGCCUCUUCUGCAGAUUUAGAAGAAGGAUGUGCACAACGACAACUUCAUUGUCUGUUCCUUUUCUUCCUUUCACAAGCAAGACUUGCGAGGCACGCUAAGGAAAUGCUAUGUUGUUUAACAUCUACUACUGCUGCUUGUAGAACUGUGAUCUUCCUAUCACCAAUGUAUGUUCUAUGCAUUUACUGCUCGUUUCGGCCUUUUUCUUGCAAUGUUUGUCAUAUCAACGCAUUCUUAAUUGACUUCUUCUCUUUCGUUCCAAGCCAUUGUCGAUGAACUUUCUUUCA
RNA transcript from Populus trichocarpa (black cottonwood), 4314 nucleotides. RefSeq lists it as uncharacterized. NCBI's taxonomy places the organism in Eukaryota, Viridiplantae, Streptophyta, Magnoliopsida, Malpighiales, Salicaceae. The record is from RefSeq and is a predicted model, not a curated record. The transcript is spliced from 3 exons.